AACAAAACAACAUCAAGAUAAAAAAAUGGAUUAGAAUGAAUAGAUUAAAUAGGACCUAAUCAUGAUUAAUGGGGAUUAAAUUAUGAGCUAUAGGCCUGGGGUGUUAUUAAUGGAAAGGGAGGUAUGAAGGGAUUGCCUGGUUGGGCCAAGAAAUCGUGGGGCGAAAGACCCACUUCAACACCCAGAAUUCGGAACCCAUCCGCAACCUGGGAUCCGCAGAUAAGAAGAACAAACGCUGGAUAAUCUCUAUCCCUAGAAACCGGAUUUACCCUCAGAUAUCCACCCAUCUUGUUCAAUCGAGAAAAAGAAUCCGAAAGAUACCUAAAUAAUCUGUCUUCCUCACCGCGAAGCAUAUAACCAGUGCAACGAAGAAGAAUGAAAUCGGUACAGUUCCUCACGUCGAAAAUAAUCGGUCAAAUGGCUUACACUCACGGCGCAAGGAUCUCGAGUUUCACCCUUAAAUGACGGAAAACGCGACGGACCAAAACCUCGACGUUUGGUUUGCUCUUCUGCUCGUGGCUAAUCGGGAAGUAAAUAUUUACAUCCUCACGAUGCUGGCUUGAGAUGAGGGAUGGAUUUCGGACUCGCGUGUCGUAUGGCGGUGAAGGGAGAGCCGCGAAUUUGAUUCGCGAAGGAGGUGAAGAUUGAAGCGUGAAGAUGAUCAGCCCUUCAACAUGUGAGAUCGAAUUUCCUCCCUUUCCCUUGAUAUCUUCUGCUCACCGUUUUUCCUCUUCUCUUCUGCCUCUUCUGCUUUUGUGUUGUUCUGAUUUCGUUAUUGGGUUGUCGUUGAGGGUUCUUGGGAGAUUGAGGUUAGUUCGAAGGGUUCUGUGAGGUUGGUGCGGAGAGGGUUGAAUAGUUGAUGAAGAGUUGGUGAAGAAGUGAAGUUGCAGGGUGAUGGUUUUUGAAUAAUGGCGGUGGAGAAAUUCUGAAUCAGAAUGGUUUUCUUGCCGUCGUUUUGGGUUACGCGCUUCUGCGUUUUUACGUUUGGAGUUCCAUCGUUUUGCUACCGCAACCGUCGUCUGCGUUAUUGUGUACGGCAGCUUAUCACCUGCGUUUUGGGCUUAUGGAGGGUGAUAGGAUGUGGUUCACUGAUGGGUAACUGGGUUAAUCAAGUGGACUUUUGUAAUUUGGUUUUUUCAAAUGGAGCUUGGAUAACUAUUUUGAAUUAUUUUUGUAAAUGGAUAGGGAUAUUUGGGUCAAUGGAUAUUUUAAUAUUUGGAUAUGAAAUGGCUAUGGUUUGGUUUGACUUGAA
Long non-coding RNA from Lathyrus oleraceus (garden pea), 1252 nucleotides. RefSeq lists it as uncharacterized. The record is from RefSeq and is a predicted model, not a curated record. Lineage: Eukaryota; Viridiplantae; Streptophyta; Magnoliopsida; Fabales; Fabaceae. The transcript has 2 exons.